This is a small nuclear RNA of Cercocebus atys (sooty mangabey), 103 nucleotides long. Lineage: Eukaryota; Metazoa; Chordata; Mammalia; Primates; Cercopithecidae. The record is from Ensembl.
GUGCUUGUUUUGGCAGCACAUAUACUAAAAUCAGAAUGAUACUGAGAAGAUUAGCAUGGCCCACACACAAGGAUGACAUACAAAUUUGAUUUUAUAAUUUUAU